GGGGAUUUAGCUCAGCGGUAGAGCGCUUGCCUGGCGAGCGCAAGGCCCUGGGUUCGGUCCCCAGCUCCG
Rattus norvegicus (Norway rat) is the source of this 69-nucleotide non-coding RNA. Lineage: Eukaryota; Metazoa; Chordata; Mammalia; Rodentia; Muridae. The record is from Rfam.